UAGUCUUGGUUUUAUAAGAGAGCAG
Molecule: non-coding RNA, 25 nt
Filed under: Mus musculus (house mouse)
Lineage: Eukaryota; Metazoa; Chordata; Mammalia; Rodentia; Muridae
Source: RNAcentral